AUGGCCGGCGCCCUGGACGAGGCCAAGAUCAUCGACUACUUCAGGAACAAGAGCGUGCUCAUCACCGGAGCCACGGGCUUCCUUGGCAAGAUCAUGGUGGAAAAGAUCCUGCGGGUCCAGCCGGACGUGAAGCGGAUCUACCUGCCGGUGCGGGCGGCCGACGCCGCCGCGGCCAGGCGCCGGGUGGAGACCGAGGUGGUGGGGAAGGAGCUGUUCGGGGUGCUGCGGGAGCGGCACGGCGCCGGGUUCGACGCCUUCGUCGCGGACAAGGUGGUGGGGCUGGCCGGCGACGUCAUGCGCGAGGGCUUCGGCGUCGACGCCGCCACGCUGCGGGACCUCCGGCUCGCCGACGAGCUCAACGUCAUCGUCAACGGCGCCGCCACCACCAACUUUUACGAAAGGUACGACGUGGCCCUGGACGUGAACGUGGUGGGGGUGAAGCACAUGUGCGACUUCGCCCGGAAAUGCCCCAACCUCGAGGUGCUCAUGCACGUCUCCACGGCCUACGUCGCCGGCGAGAAGCAGGGGCUGGUCCCGGAGAGGCCGUUCAAGGACGGAGAGACGCUGCGCGACGACGGCACCCAGCUCGACAUCGACGCCGAGCUGAGGCUCGCCAGGGACCUCCGGAAGCAGAUGGAGGCCGACGACGAUGUCGACCCCAAGGCCCAGAGGAAGGCCAUGAAGGACCUCGGCCUCACCAGGGCCCGGCACUUUGGGUGGCCCAACACGUACGUCUUCACCAAGUCCAUGGGGGAGAUGAUGCUGGCCCAGAUGAUGCGCGGGGGCGACGUGCCCGUUGUCAUCGUCCGGCCCAGCAUCAUAACCAGCGUCCAGAACGACCCACUGCCAGGAUGGAUCGAAGGCACCAGGACGAUCGACGCCAUCCUGAUUGGGUACGCGAAGCAGAGCCUGUCGUGCUUCCUCGCCGACCUUGACCUCACCAUGGACGUGAUGCCCGGUGACAUGGUGGUGAACGCGAUGAUGGCGGCCACGGUGGCGCACGCCUCCUCCACUCGGUCAUCAGAGCCAGAGAAGAAGCCACCUCCGCAGCAGCAACACCCUCACUCGGUGCCGCCAUCGCCAACGGUGUACCACGUCAGCUCGUCGCUGCGGCACCCGGCUCCGUACGCGGUGUUGUACCGGACGGGGAUGCGGUACUUCGAGGAGCACCCACGUGUGGGGCCCGAUGGCCGCACCGUGCGCACUCGCAAGGUGCGGUUCCUCGGCAGCAUCGCGGCGUUCCACCUCUUCAUGGUGCUCAAGUAUCGUGUCCCCCUCGAGCUCCUUCGCCUGCUCUCUAUCCUCUGUUGUGGCCUCUUCGGUCUUGCCGCCCUCUAUCAUGACCUCGCCCGCAAGUACAGGUUCGUGAUGCAGCUGGUCGACUUGUACGGGCCCUUCUCGCUCUUCAAGGGUUGCUUCGACGAUGUAAACCUCAACAAGCUCAGGAUCACCAUGGCUGAUGGCGACCAUGCCGAUACCGCCGGCGGGCUAUUCAACUUUGACCCCAAGACCGUUGACUGGGACGAUUACUUCUUCAAGGUCCACAUCCCUGGUGUCAUGAAGUACGUCCUCAAGUGA
RNAcentral lists this ribosomal RNA (1578 nucleotides) under Triticum aestivum (bread wheat). RNAcentral describes it as "partial small subunit ribosomal RNA". Lineage: Eukaryota; Viridiplantae; Streptophyta; Magnoliopsida; Poales; Poaceae. The record is from RNAcentral.